ACUUACUUAGUUUAUAAAGAAUAGAAGUUUGUGGUGCUUCCGGAGGUUGUAGCCAGUAAGUA
RNAcentral lists this transfer RNA (62 nucleotides) under Tigriopus japonicus. RNAcentral describes it as "tRNA-His". Lineage: Eukaryota; Metazoa; Arthropoda; Copepoda; Harpacticoida; Harpacticidae. The record is from RNAcentral.